Molecule: ribosomal RNA, 254 nt
Filed under: uncultured bacterium
Lineage: Bacteria
Description: partial 16S ribosomal RNA
Rfam family: Bacterial small subunit ribosomal RNA
Source: RNAcentral
UACGUAGGGGGCGAGCGUUGUCCGAAGUUACUGGGCGUAAAGCGCGCGUAGGCGGCCCACUAAGUCUGAGGUGAAAGGUUCAGCGCUCAACGCGAACAGUGCCUUGGAGACUGGUGGGCUUGAGGGCGGGAGAGGGAAGCGGAAUUCCGGGUGUAGCGGUGAAAUGCGUAGAUAUCCGGAGGAACACCGAUGGCGAAGGCAGCUUCCUGGCCUGCAUCUGACGCUGAGGCGCGAAAGCGUGGGGAGCGAACGGG